UUGACGGGGACCCGCACAAGCGGUGGAUGAUGUGGAUUAAUUCGAUGCAACGCGAAAACCUUACCUACCCUUGACAUGUCCGGAAUCCCGAAGAGAUUUGGGAGUGCUCGCAAGAGAACCGGAACACAGGUGCUGCAUGGCUGUCGUCAGCUCGUGUCGUGAGAUGUUGGGUUAAGUCCCGCAACGAGCGCAACCCUUGUCAUUAGUUGCCAUCAUUUGGUUGGGCACUCUAAUGAGACUGCCGGUGACAAACCGGAGGAAGGUGGGGAUGACGUCAAGUCCUCAUGGCCCUUAUGGGUAGGGCUUCACACGUCAUACAAUGGUCGGUACAGAGGGUUGCCAACCCGCGAGGGGGAGCUAAUCCCACAAAGCCGAUCGUAGUCCGGAUCGCAGUCUGCAACUCGACUGCGUGAAGUCGGAAUCGCUAGUAAUCGUGGAUCAGCAUGUCACGGUGAAUACGUCCCCGGGUCUU
RNAcentral lists this ribosomal RNA (472 nucleotides) under uncultured Rhodocyclaceae bacterium. Its description in RNAcentral is "bacterial SSU rRNA". It matches the Rfam family "Bacterial small subunit ribosomal RNA", at positions 910 to 1382 of the family's 1533-position model. The record is from RNAcentral. Lineage: Bacteria; Pseudomonadati; Pseudomonadota; Betaproteobacteria; Rhodocyclales; Rhodocyclaceae.